UUUAAUUUAUAUGAUGGUGUGACAUUUAAAUAGUAAUGCAUUUUAUAUGGUGUAAAAUUUCAAGUAAAAAAUAAAGAGAAAAGAAAUAAAAAUUCAUGGGGCCCACUCUCCCCGCUGGUUCUCUCCCUCACCUCUUGUUUUGCUUUUUCAUUUUCUUUUCACAUUCAAUCUUUGAUGCAAGAUUACUUCUUCAUUAUUUGCCGGAUUGAGGUGCCGUUUGAGGUAAAACGAAGAGCACGACGAACUCUACGCGUGUGUACCAGAAAUUCCAGCUUUGAGCCUCCUUAGGGACUUCGAAAAUUUGAACCCAUUUUAAAGGUUUUGUUCAAAAUCAUGGGAUACAAGAGACGUGUUUUAAGUGCUACCUACUCACCCUAUUAUAAUUAUCAUUUUUUCAAGACAUGGAAAAGGAGUAGCUGACGGUAAUCCACCUCAGCCUUAGCUUGGAGUAGAGAAAUGUCUCUUUUGUUAUCUUUUGUAAAUGGACCUAAUUUUUGUAAAGUACUAACUCAAGAUGUAUUAUUUUUGCAACGUGUGGUGUAUUGAGGUUCAUUUUGUA
Cornus florida is the source of this 559-nucleotide long non-coding RNA. RefSeq lists it as uncharacterized. NCBI's taxonomy places the organism in Eukaryota, Viridiplantae, Streptophyta, Magnoliopsida, Cornales, Cornaceae. The transcript is spliced from 2 exons. The record is from RefSeq and is a predicted model, not a curated record.